GUCUACGGCCACGCCACCCUGAAUGUGCCCGAUCUCAUCUGAUCUCGGAAGCUACGCAGGGUCGGGCCUGGUUAGUACUUGGAUGGGAGACCACCUGGGAAUACCGGGUGCUGUAGGUG
RNAcentral lists this ribosomal RNA (119 nucleotides) under Pteropus alecto (black flying fox). Lineage: Eukaryota; Metazoa; Chordata; Mammalia; Chiroptera; Pteropodidae. The record is from RNAcentral.